RNAcentral lists this ribosomal RNA (1475 nucleotides) under Candidatus Pelagibacter sp. RNAcentral's name for it is "bacterial SSU rRNA". It matches the Rfam family "Bacterial small subunit ribosomal RNA". The record is from RNAcentral. Lineage: Bacteria; Pseudomonadati; Pseudomonadota; Alphaproteobacteria; Candidatus Pelagibacterales; Candidatus Pelagibacteraceae.
AAACUUGAGAGUUUGAUCAUGGCUCAGAACGUACGCUGGCGGCACGCCUAACACAUGCAAGUCGAACGAAGUAGCAAUACUUAGUGGCAGACGGGUGAGUAACAUGUAGGUAUCUGCCCUUUGGCCUGGAAUAACACGAGGAAACUUGUGCUAAUACCGGAUAAGUCUUUACGGAGAAAGCUUUAUGCACCAUUGGAUGAGCCUGCACUUGAUUAGUUUGUUGGUGGGGUAAUGGCCUACCAAGACUGUGAUCAAUAGCUGAUUUGAGAGGAUGAUCAGCCACAUUGGGACUGAGACACGGCCCAAACUCCUACGGGAGGCAGCAGUGGGGAAUCUUGCACAAUGGAGGAAACUCUGAUGCAGCGAUGCCGCGUGAGUGAAGAAGGCCUUUGGGUUGUAAAGCUCUUUCGUCGGGGAAGAAAAUGACUGUACCCGAAUAAGAAGGUCCGGCUAACUUCGUGCCAGCAGCCGCGGUAAUACGAAGGGACCUAGCGUAGUUCGGAAUUACUGGGCUUAAAGAGUUCGUAGGUGGUUGAAAAAGUUAGUGGUGAAAUCCCAGAGCUUAACUCUGGAACUGCCAUUAAAACUUUUCAGCUAGAGUAUGAUAGAGGAAAGCAGAAUUUCUAGUGUAGAGGUGAAAUUCGUAGAUAUUAGAAAGAAUACCAAUUGCGAAGGCAGCUUUCUGGAUCAUUACUGACACUGAGGAACGAAAGCAUGGGUAGCGAAGAGGAUUAGAUACCCUCGUAGUCCAUGCCGUAAACGAUGUGUGUUAGACGUUGGAAAUUUAUUUUCAGUGUCGCAGGGAAACCGAUAAACACACCGCCUGGGGAGUACGACCGCAAGGUUAAAACUCAAAUGAAUUGACGGGGACCCGCACAAGUAGUGGAGCAUGUGGUUUAAUUCGAAGAUACGCGCAGAACCUUACCAACACUUGACAUGUUCGUCGCGACUCUAAGAGAUUAGAGUUUUCGGUUCGGCCGGACGAAACACAGGUGCUGCAUGGCUGUCGUCAGCUCGUGUCGUGAGAUGUUGGGUUAAGUCCCGCAACGAGCGCAACCCUCACUUUUAGUUGCCAUCAUUAAGUUGGGCACUCUGAAAGAACUGCCAGUGAUAAGCUGGAGGAAGGUGGGGAUGACGUCAAGUCCUCAUGGCCCUUACGUGUUGGGCUACACACGUGCUACAAUGGUAUCUACAACAGGAAGCAAAACUGCGAAGUUAAGCAAAUCCCUAAAAGAUACCUCAGUUCGGAUUGCACUCUGCAACUCGAGUGCAUGAAGCUGGAAUUACUAGUAAUCGUGGAUCAGCGUGCCACGGUGAAUGCGUUCCCGGGUCUUGUACACACCGCCCGUCACACCAUGGGAGUUGGUUCUACCUUAAGGCAAGGUUUCAAACCCUUGACCACGGUAUAGUCAGCGACUGGGGUGAAGUCGUAACAAGGUAGCCGUAGGGGAACCUGCGGCUGGAUUACCUCCUUU